GAUGAACGCUGGCGGCGUGCCUAAUACAUGCAAGUCGAACGCUUCACUUCGGUGAAGAGUGGCGAACGGGUGAGUAAUACAUAAGUAACCUGGCAUCUACAGGGGGAUAACUGAUGGAAACGUCAGCUAAGACCGCAUAGGUGUAGAGAUCGCAUGAACUCUAUAUGAAAAGUGCUACGGGACUGGUAGAUGAUGGACUUAUGGCGCAUUAGCUUGUUGGUAGGGUAACGGCCUACCAAGGCGACGAUGCGUAGCCGACCUGAGAGGGUGACCGGCCACACUGGGACUGAGGCACGGCCCAGACUCCUACGGGAGGCAGCAGUAGGGAAUUUUCGGCAAUGGGGGAAACCCUGACCGAGCAACGCCGCGUGAAGGAAGAAGUAAUUCGUUAUGUAAACUUCUGUCAUAGAGGAAGAACGGUGGAUAUAGGGAAUGAUAUCCAAGUGACGGUACUCUAUAAGAAAGCCACGGCUAACUACGUG
Molecule: ribosomal RNA, 482 nt
Filed under: uncultured bacterium
Lineage: Bacteria
Description: partial 16S ribosomal RNA
Rfam family: Bacterial small subunit ribosomal RNA
Source: RNAcentral